UGCGCGUGCGCGCAGCGCCAGCCCCGGCCGGCGAGCCUGACAAAGGCGCGGGCGCCCGGCGGCCCCGGGGCGGCGGAGGGGGCGCCGCGAGGCGAGGGGCGGGGGGGGGGGGGGCGGGACGCCGCCGGGGCCGCGCGGAGCCCCACACCCGCGGAGACAAAGCGGCCUCUGAAACAACCUGCCGUCCUGGUGAACACAAUCGAGCAAGGCAGCGAAGCAAAAAUCAUUAGGUAAGCAAGAUAAUCUAAGCGGAAUCUGCUGCCUGCACUCUCACAUCUGGGGGCAGGGUGCACAGCUGGGGCGGCCCCACGAAGCUGGGCUCUUCCUGCCCUGCAGCGCCUUUGUAUGUGUGCUCGGAUAUAUACACUCGUUCAGUUGCAGAUGCACAGCCUUGCGACAGGUUUUAGGAGAUAAACACCCUGAGGCAAGGACACUCAUUGAAGCCCCGGUAUGAAAUAGCUCGAGAGUAUACGAAUUUAAACGGAACCAAAACGCCUGCCAUCCCAUCUAACAACCACCAAAUUAAACCUAACUGCUAUCAGCUCAGGCUUCGGUAUUGGUGGGGAGCCCUAACACCAACCAUUUAGAAACCAUUUAGAAACCUAUAUUUCCAAAAUACAUUUGUAUUUGUUUAUAUGAAGAUUCUGAAUCUAAUGCCUGCCAUGGGUAUAUGGCUACAUAUGUUUAAGUUACAUAUUUAUGUGUGUGUGUGUGUAUAUAUAUAUACACACAUGCACAUAUAUAUACAUAUACACACAACAUAAAAACAUUUAUGCUUACUGUAUGCCAGGUACCAUUAUAGAUGUAUCAUGUCUGCUAACUCAUUGAAUCCUUAAAACAUAACAUAGUACAUUAUUCUCCCCACUUUAUAGACAAGGUAACUGAGGCACAAAGAGUUCAAGCAACUUGUCCAAAGUCAUCCUCCAGUAAGUGGUGGGGCCAGGACUUGAACGCAGGAAGUCUGCCUCUUGUAUCCAGGCUGUCAUCCACUCAGCCAUGCUGUCUCGUAAAAAGAAGUCAAGUCACACAAAUAAUGUUACAUGUCUUUAAAAGGUGGCUGGACUCAGACACAUCACGCUCCAGUUUGGGUUCCAAGGUGCUUCUCUCUGGAUUUUCACCUGCCUUGCCAAAAAUGAUUGAUUACGCCGGGCCGACUGGGUGUCCGGCAAUACCCAACAAAUGACUUUGGCCCCUAACAGCAGGCCUUGGCCAGAUAGAAAUCAAUAUUUCACCAUUAAAAUCUAUCAAAGAAGAGUUAAGGCACCAUCUGUCCCUGCCGCCUCUCUAUGGUGUGUGAACAUUAAAUCCGACACUUGUACUACAUGGGUAAUCAAUAUAUAGUGGUUCACAGAUCAUUUGUGGUUCCCUUUUAGCAGUGAUGGAUGUCUGGAAUCGUUGUGAUUCAUUUUGUCAGACCAUUAAACAAGAUUCUGUCCAGUUCCUUCCUGAUUUCAUUUAGAGGAUCAUUCUUCACAGUUCAUAAGAGGGAAACGGUUUUACCAAUCUGCUUCUAUUUCAAUAAGUCACUUUAUAGAGAUUUUGUGUCCUCCAGACUGUAAAAAUUCUGGAGAGAUAGUACAAACAGACCUCUAAAACUAUUCACCACUGCAUGACAUAUGCAUAAAGUGUGAAGAGAGGAAUGUAAAUAUGUUUACCUCUUUAUCUGCAAAUGUUGGUUUUAACCCCCUCCUGGCUGGAGUGCUGGCCUGUGGGGCACUCCCAGAACAGUGCCUGCCACAGCAGGAGGAGGGUGCACUGGUGACCAGGGACCGAUUCUUAGAGGCAGGGGGAACCUCCUGAUCCCUCAGUGCCAUGGUUAAAAGCAAAUGGGAAUGGCUUUUCCAGAGGCUGCAUUUCAGACCUCUGUUUCUACAGUCGAGAUAAUCUUGCUUCUCACCCAAAAGGUUGGCAAAUGCCUCUCGGUACUCUGGUGCAGCAUGCCAACCCAAGAGAAGAAACAGUGACUGUGCCCUUGAGGGCAGGGUAUGGAUGAGCGUAAGGACACGCAUGAUCAUAACAGCUGCCAUUUGUGGAGCAUCAACGUGUGCCAGGCCCAAAAUAUGCCCCAGUCUCACCCUUGACAAUUUUACAAGAUAGGUACUCUUCUCCCCACUUUCCAGUGGGGAAACUGAGGCUCGGACAAGUUGAAUAACCUGCCUAAGAUUACCCUACCCAGGGAACUGGAGGGUCAUGACCCAGACCCAGACCUGUCUGACACUCAAGAGCCCACGUGACUGUGGCCAGCUCUUGGGUGUUGGCCAUCACUCCACAAAUGGUUUUGUUUCAAGCCAAGUGAAUUACUUUUAGUCCUCCUGGGCUAUAUACUUACUCCAACCAAUCAGGGUACUGUUAGGAAAUAGAACUUUUUUAUUAUUAUUUUAAGUAAUUCUGCAACAGGAUCACUAACUAAUGCACUCCAAAGCGAAACAAUUUAUUUUAAACCAUUUUCCUGUUUUGGAUUAUUGGGUAAUUAUAUCACUUUGGCUGAUAUAAGUACAGAUAAGCAGAUGUUGAUUUAAAUAUUAGUACAAACACAUACACAUAUGUAUAUAUACAGAUAUGUACACAUAUAUGCACAUAUAUUUGAUAUAAUGAUUAUAAAUCAUAAUAUAUAUAUAUAUAUAUAUAUUAUUUGAAAGACUCUAGAGAUGAAGUAGUUUUUCCUUCUUUCCUUUCCUUUUAAAAUUUCCUUUAAAGUAACUGAGUCUCGGAAAGAAUAAAAUCUGACCUGGAUUGAGAAUCUUACUUCCUGAUUUCCAAGUUACAACACUGUACUGAAAGACCGUAAGUGAUAGAAUGUUAUUCAAUUACAAUUUGGGUGGGGGGUGAUAUAUUUGUUGACGGGACAAUUGGGAGAGAGUUGUACUGUGUUGCAGCCGAGCAAGCGGGAAAAUCUCCAGGGCAUUUUUACUUCCACAUAAAUUCACUAACCGCAAUACCUGCCGCAAGGUAAGCAUUCCUUCUGCUAACGGCACAAAGUAAGGCUGGUCGGGCCACUUCAGACCCAAGGCCAUCAGGCCAGACCCAUGCUAGACAACA
Molecule: long non-coding RNA, 3039 nt
Filed under: Canis lupus familiaris (dog)
Lineage: Eukaryota; Metazoa; Chordata; Mammalia; Carnivora; Canidae
Description: lncRNA (ENSCAFG00845005912.1)
Source: RNAcentral